GAACCAAGAAAUUGUUGUUAUUUAUUCUUUUUUUUAAAAACAAUAUAACACCAGCUUUGUUGAACCUCUUACAUUAUAAACAGAGCUAUUUACAGGGGCCUUCUCCUUCCCUUUGUGGUGAGGGGCUGGGGAGAGGGCUCCAGCUCCCUCCCCUUGGGGGCACGGAAAUGCCUGAGCCUUGCCAAGCAGCAAGGGCUGCUGUGCUCUGCACCUUAGUUCACAUGAUGAUUGGAGGCUCAGGCACUGAUUCGCCAAUGGACUUGUGAGGCAGUACACUGGCCCAUUGAAGUAGAGCUCAUCACUUACAACGACAUCCUCUCCCAGCACUGUCACGUUCUCCAUGCGCACCCACUGGCCCCCAUGGGAGCUCCAGCCACAAUGCAGGAAUCAAGCCAUGAGUGAGAACGGAUAUGGGCACCUCGCAGCACUGUGCAUCGCUUGAUACACACGCAAUCGUCUACCACCACACCAGGGCCCAGGCUGACGUUGGGCAGAUGCUACAGUUCUGGCCAAUCCUGGUGCUUGGAUCCACUAGCACGUUGCCCACAAUGCCCUGGCCAAAGUAGAGCCACUCAAGCUGCGUCUGCCUCAGUGACUGCAGGAAGAGGCAUAUCCCGGUCAGGAAGUCCUUGUGCUGCCCGAUGUCCAUUCAGAAGCCUGGGAGUUCCAUGGCUGUUAUUUAUUCUUCACACUCAAACAGAACCAAUGACAUCAUGUUGCUAGGGUCUACAGUGUGCUCGCCAGUGGCUGAUCACUCCAAUAUGAGCUUGGAAGGCUCUACCAAAGGGAGCCAGACGAGGAAAAGCUAAGGAGAAAGAAAGGGAACAAUCAGAGAAGUAGAAGGGGAAUGAAGAGACUUCAAUGACAUGGAAUACAAAGAUGGAGACUAUCAAUGAAGAGAGAGUGGUCACCAAUGUUAGGGAGAAUGAAAACCCAACAAAGGAUAUGACAAUAAGACUACUAAUUAUUUUGGAGAGGGCUAAAAAUGGAAACCAUAUUGCAAAGGGUUAACAAGUUAGUGGUAGCUGAGGAAUUGUAAGUAAUAGAAUGAGAAUAGUGUAAGAUUUUUAUGGUAAAG
Molecule: long non-coding RNA, 1078 nt
Filed under: Phascolarctos cinereus (koala)
Lineage: Eukaryota; Metazoa; Chordata; Mammalia; Diprotodontia; Phascolarctidae
Description: lncRNA (ENSPCIG00000034488.1)
Source: RNAcentral